UGAGGAAUAUUGCGCAAUGGAGGCAACUCUGACGCAGCCAUGCCGCGUGCAGGAAGACGGCCCUACGGGUUGUAAACUGCUUUUAUCCGGGAAGAAACCCCUCGACGUGUCGAGGGUUGACGGUACCGGAGGAAUAAGCACCGGCUAACUUCGUGCCAGCAGCCGCGGUAAUACGAAGGGUGCAAGCGUUAUCCGGAUUCAUUGGGUUUAAAGGGUGCGUAGGCGGGGCGUUAAGUCAGUGGUGAAAUCCUGCAGCUUAACUGUAGAAUUGCCAUUGAUACUGGCGCUCUUGAGUACGCUUGGCGUGGGCGGAAUGUGCCGUGUAGCGGUGAAAUGCUUAGAUAUGGCACAGAACACCGAUCGCGAAGGCAGCUCACGAAGGCGAAACUGACGCUGAGGCACGAAAGCGUGGGGAUCGAACAGG
RNAcentral lists this ribosomal RNA (424 nucleotides) under uncultured bacterium. Its description in RNAcentral is "bacterial SSU rRNA". It matches the Rfam family "Bacterial small subunit ribosomal RNA", at positions 355 to 776 of the family's 1533-position model. The record is from RNAcentral.